UGGCCUACGGGACGCAGCAGUGGGGGAUAUUGGACAAUGGGGGAAACCCUGAUCCAGCGAUGCCGCGUGAGGGAAGAAGGUUUUCGGAUUGUAAACCUCUGUGGAGGGGGACGAUAAUGACGGUACCCCUUUAGGAAGCCACGGCUAACUACGUGCCAGCAGCCGCGGUAAUACGUAGGUGGCGAGCGUUGUCCGGAAUUACUGGGUGUAAAGGGAGGGUAGGCGGGAAAGCAAGUAAGAAGUGAAAACUAUGGGCUUAACCCAUGUCCUGCUUUUGAAACUGGUUUUCUUGAGUGAAGUAGAGG
RNAcentral lists this ribosomal RNA (305 nucleotides) under uncultured bacterium. RNAcentral describes it as "bacterial SSU rRNA". It matches the Rfam family "Bacterial small subunit ribosomal RNA", at positions 335 to 657 of the family's 1533-position model. The record is from RNAcentral.